Molecule: ribosomal RNA, 393 nt
Filed under: uncultured bacterium
Lineage: Bacteria
Description: partial 16S ribosomal RNA
Rfam family: Bacterial small subunit ribosomal RNA
Source: RNAcentral
AUACGUAGGUGACAAGCGUUAUCCGGAUUUACUGGGCGUAAAGGGCGUGUAGGCGGUCUUGCAAGUCAGAAGUGAAAUUCCUGAGCUCAACUCGGGCGCUGCUUCUGAAACUGCAGGACUUGAGUGCUGGAGGGGAUAGCGGAAUUCCUAGUGGAGCGGUAAAAUGCGCAGAUAUUAGGAGGAAUACCAGUGGCGAAGGCGACUCUCUGGACUGAUACUGACGCUGAGGCACGAAAGCGUGGGGAGCAAACAGGAUUAGAUACCCUGGUAGUCCACGCUAUAAACGAUGAGUGCUAGGUGUCGGGGGUCAAACCUCGGUGCCGCAGUUAACACAUUAAGCACUCCGCCUGGGGAGUACGGCCGCAAGGCUGAAACUCAAAGGAAUUGACGGGG